This 464-nucleotide ribosomal RNA is filed under the name uncultured bacterium. RNAcentral describes it as "partial 16S ribosomal RNA". It matches the Rfam family "Bacterial small subunit ribosomal RNA", at positions 330 to 792 of the family's 1533-position model. The record is from RNAcentral.
GCCAGACUCCUACGGGAGGCAGCAGUGAGGAAUAUUGGUCAAUGGCCGGAAGGCUGAACCAGCCAAGCCGCGUGAAGGACGAAGGUGCCAAGCAUUGUAAACUUCUUUUGUCAAGGGACAAAAUCAGGCUCGAGAGCCUGACCGAGGGUACUUGAAGAAAAAGCAUCGGCUAACUCCGUGCCAGCAGCCGCGGUAAUACGGAGGAUGCGAGCGUUAUCCGGAUUUAUUGGGUUUAAAGGGUGCGUAGGCGGAGUGUAAGGUAGGGGGGAAAGGCCGGGGGCUCAACCCGGGCGAGCCGUUGAAACUGGCUGUCUUGAGAUGUCGAGAGGUAUGCGGAAUGCGCAGUGUAGCGGUGAAAUGCUUAGAUAUUGCGCAGAACUCCGAUUGCGAAGGCAGCAUACCGGCGGCGAUCUGACGCUGAGGCACGAAAGCGUGGGUAUCGAACAGGAUUAGAUACCCGAGUA